Molecule: non-coding RNA, 629 nt
Organism: Phascolarctos cinereus (koala)
Lineage: Eukaryota; Metazoa; Chordata; Mammalia; Diprotodontia; Phascolarctidae
Source: RefSeq, a predicted model, not a curated record
GGUAAUACUCUGAGUGGAACCGUAUAAACUAGCCAUUCCAUCCGGAGGCUGCCUGGGAAAGGCAGAAUGGACCAAAGAACUCUGUCCAGAAAGCCUGGAUAGGUCUCCACAGCCCACUGGAUCAGACAAUUUAGAGCUAGAAGUGACCAUUCCUGCUCCAUUCCAGCCCAGCUUGACCUCACCCUCUGAACUCCCAUCGUAUUGAUGACGGAAUAGAUUUAUUUAUAGCUGACACUUAUAUCAUCCUUUAAAAACCCUUUACAGGGAUAGCUAGAGGGCACAGUGGAUAGAACAUCGUCCCUGGAUUCAGGAAGAUGAGGAAACUGAGGCUGAAGAAGAUUAACACAAUCGAUUCCCCGGUGAACCAUCGAUCGGGCCUCACCUUUAUUUUCCCUGUACAGACGGGAGAUCAAAGCCAUGACCAGAAAUUUUUGCCCCUGGGGCAUAUCAGUUGGAGCCCAGAGCUCAGCACGCCUAGUUCCAGACGUCCAGACCUCGCACUCUAUAAAUCCUUUCUGCCCUUGCCCCAGAGUUGCUGACUAUAUGUAUUUUGGGCCCUGACUUUAAUUCCCUCAUCCUUGACUGGUGACAUUAAGAUUUGUAACUGAUAGAAUGUGUUUUUAAUGUAU